Molecule: ribosomal RNA, 119 nt
Filed under: Pteropus alecto (black flying fox)
Lineage: Eukaryota; Metazoa; Chordata; Mammalia; Chiroptera; Pteropodidae
Also listed under: 1 other name
Source: RNAcentral
AUCUACAGCCAUGCCACCCUGAACAAGCCCGAUCCCGUCUGAUCUUGGAAGCUAAGUAGGGUCGGGUCUGGUUAGUACUUGGGUGGGAGACUACCUAGGAAGACCAGGUGCUGUAGGCG